This 253-nucleotide ribosomal RNA is filed under the name uncultured bacterium. RNAcentral describes it as "partial 16S ribosomal RNA". It matches the Rfam family "Bacterial small subunit ribosomal RNA", at positions 524 to 776 of the family's 1533-position model. The record is from RNAcentral.
UACGGAGGGUGCAAGCGUUAUCCGGAUUCACUGGGUUUAAAGGGUGCGUAGGCGGGCAUUUAAGUCAGUGGUGAAAUACCUGAGCUUAACUUGGGAACUGCCAUUGAUACUAUUUGUCUUGAAUGUCGUGGAGGUUAGCGGAAUAUGUCAUGUAGCGGUGAAAUGCUUAGAUAUGACAUAGAACACCGAUUGCGAAGGCAGCUAGCUAAACGAUUAUUGACGCUGAGGCACGAAAGCGUGGGGAUCAAACAGG